Molecule: transfer RNA, 80 nt
Filed under: Musa acuminata subsp. malaccensis (wild Malaysian banana)
Lineage: Eukaryota; Viridiplantae; Streptophyta; Magnoliopsida; Zingiberales; Musaceae
Rfam family: tRNA
About the family: Transfer RNA (tRNA) molecules are approximately 80 nucleotides in length. Their secondary structure includes four short double-helical elements and three loops (D, anti-codon, and T loops).
Source: Rfam by way of RNAcentral
GUCAAAAUGGCCGAGUUGGUAAAAGCGCUAGUUUCAGAUGGUAGUCUGAAAUGGCAUGGGUUCGAAUCCCAUUCUUGACA